UAUACAUGCAAGUCGAGCGAACAGAUGAGAAGCUUGCUUCUCUGAUGUUAGCGGCGGACGGGUGAGUAACACGUGGGUAACCUACCUAUAAGACUGGGAUAACUCCGGGAAACCGGGGCUAAUACCGGAUAAUAUUUUGAACCGCAUGGUUCAAUAGUGAAAGACGGUUUCGGCUGUCACUUAUAGAUGGACCCGCGCCGUAUUAGCUAGUUGGUAAGGUAACGGCUUACCAAGGCGACGAUACGUAGCCGACCUGAGAGGGUGAUCGGCCACACUGGAACUGAGACACGGUCCAGACUCCUACGGGAGGCAGCAGUAGGGAAUCUUCCGCAAUGGGCGAAAGCCUGACGGAGCAACGCCGCGUGAGUGAUGAAGGUCUUCGGAUCGUAAAACUCUGUUGUUAGGGAAGAACAAAUUUGUUAGUAACUGAACAAGUCUUGACGGUACCUAACCAGAAAGCCACGGCUAACUACGUGCCAGCAGCCGCGGUAAUACGUAGGUGGCAAGCGUUAUCCGGAAUUAUUGGGCGUAAAGCGCGCGUAGGCGGUUUCUUAAGUCUGAUGUGAAAGCCCACGGCUCAACCGUGGAGGGUCAUUGGAAACUGGGAAACUUGAGUGCAGAAGAGGAGAGUGGAAUUCCAUGUGUAGCGGUGAAAUGCGCAGAGAUAUGGAGGAACACCAGUGGCGAAGGCGGCUCUCUGGUCUGUAACUGACGCUGAUGUGCGAAAGCGUGGGGAUCAAACAGGAUUAGAUACCCUGGUAGUCCACGCCGUAAACGAUGAGUGCUAAGUGUUAGGGGGUUUCCGCCCCUUAGUGCUGCAGCUAACGCAUUAAGCACUCCGCCUGGGGAGUACGACCGCAAGGUUGAAACUCAAAGGAAUUGACGGGGACCCGCACAAGCGGUGGAGCAUGUGGUUUAAUUCGAAGCAACGCGAAGAACCUUACCAAAUCUUGACAUCCUUUGACCGCUCUAGAGAUAGAGUCUUCCCCUUCGGGGGACAAAGUGACAGGUGGUGCAUGGUUGUCGUCAGCUCGUGUCGUGAGAUGUUGGGUUAAGUCCCGCAACGAGCGCAACCCUUAAGCUUAGUUGCCAUCAUUAAGUUGGGCACUCUAGGUUGACUGCCGGUGACAAACCGGAGGAAGGUGGGGAUGACGUCAAAUCAUCAUGCCCCUUAUGAUUUGGGCUACACACGUGCUACAAUGGAUAAUACAAAGGGCAGCGAAUCCGCGAGGCCAAGCAAAUCCCAUAAAAUUAUUCUCAGUUCGGAUUGUAGUCUGCAACUCGACUACAUGAAGCUGGAAUCGCUAGUAAUCGUAGAUCAGCAUGCUACGGUGAAUACGUUCCCGGGUCUUGUACACACCGCCCGUCACACCACGAGAGUUUGUAACACCCGAAGCCGGUGGAGUAACCUUUUAGGAGC
This 1420-nucleotide ribosomal RNA is filed under the name Mammaliicoccus sciuri. Its description in RNAcentral is "bacterial SSU rRNA". It matches the Rfam family "Bacterial small subunit ribosomal RNA". Lineage: Bacteria; Bacillati; Bacillota; Bacilli; Caryophanales; Staphylococcaceae. The record is from RNAcentral.